AGACUCUACGGAGGCAGCAGUAAGGAUAUGACAAUGGCGCAAGCUGAUCCAGCAUGCCGCGUGGGUGACGAAGCUAGGGUGUAAAGCUCUUUCAGUGCGAAGAUAAUGACUGUAACACCAGAAGAAGCCCCGGCUAAAUUCGUGCCAGCAGCCGCGGUAAUACGAAUGGGGCGAGCGUUGUUCGGAAUCACUGGGCGUAAAGCGUAUGCAGGCGGACAUGCAAGUCAGAAGUGAAAUCCCAGGGCUUAACCCUGGAAUGGCUUUUGAAACUGCAUGUCUAGAGUCUCGGAGGGGCCAGCGGAAUUCCCAGUGUAGAGGUGAAAUUCGCAGAUAUUGGGAGGAACACCAGUGGCGUAGGCGGCUGGCUGGACGAGUACUGACGCUCAGAUACGAAAGCGUGGGGAUCAAACAGGAUUAGAUACCCUGGUAGUCCACGCUGUAAACGAUGUGUGCUAGUUGUCGGGCCCUCAGGGUUCGGUGACGCAGCUAACGCAUUAAGCACACCGCCUGGGGAGUACGGUCGCAAGAUUAAAACUCAAAGGAAUUGACGGGGACCCGCACAAGCGGUGGAGUAUGUUGUUUAAUUCGAAGCAACGCGAAGAACCUUACCUACACUUGACAUACCUCUUGGGACUUUCAGAGAUGAUUGUUUUCGGUUCGGCCGGGGAGGAUACAGGUGCUGCAUGGCUGUCGUCAGCUCGUGUCGUGAGAUGUUGGGUUAAGUCCCGCAACGAGCGCAACCCUUAUCGUAUGUUGCCAGCAUUUAGUUGGGCACUCAUGCGAGACUGCCGGUGUUAAGCCGGAGGAA
RNAcentral lists this ribosomal RNA (808 nucleotides) under uncultured Alphaproteobacteria bacterium. RNAcentral describes it as "bacterial SSU rRNA". It matches the Rfam family "Bacterial small subunit ribosomal RNA", at positions 333 to 1171 of the family's 1533-position model. The record is from RNAcentral. Lineage: Bacteria; Pseudomonadati; Pseudomonadota; Alphaproteobacteria.